RNAcentral lists this ribosomal RNA (442 nucleotides) under uncultured bacterium. RNAcentral describes it as "bacterial SSU rRNA". It matches the Rfam family "Bacterial small subunit ribosomal RNA", at positions 958 to 1398 of the family's 1533-position model. The record is from RNAcentral.
AACGCGAAGAACCUUACCUGGGUUUGAACUUCAGUGGCAAGGCUCAGAGAUGAGUCCCUCCCUUCGGGGAUCGCUGGAGAGGUGCUGCAUGGCUGUCGUCAGCUCGUGUCGUGAGAUGUUGGGUUAAGUCCCGCAACGAGCGCAACCCUUAUCCCUAGUUGCCAUCGGGUCAAGCCGGGCACUCUAGUGAAACCGCCCGGGAUAACCGGGAGGAAGGUGGGGAUGACGUCAAGUCCUCAUGGCCUUUAUGUCCAGGGCUACACACGUGCUACAAUGGUCGGUACAAACCGUCGCAAACCCGCGAGGGGGAGCUAAUCGGAAAAAGCCGGCCUCAGUUCGGAUUGGAGUCUGCAACCCGACUCCAUGAAGCUGGAAUCGCUAGUAAUCGCGGAUCAGAACGCCGCGGUGAAUACGUUCCCGGGCCUUGUACACACCGAGUAUA